UUCAGCUGAAGGGUAUAAGUUAGGCUAGAAGUCGAUAAAAGGCGAUUCUGGUGCUUAUAAUCCAUGUAAAGCCCAAUUAAAAGUUUCCCCAACUAUAAACGCAGUCUCAUUUGAAGGCGCAAUAAAAGUGAGGGUUAUUUAUCACGUGUUGCUGUGAUUUCUACCAGGAAAAGUCAACUUCUCCAUAACCAAUCUUGAAAGCGUGUCACGGGGCAACAAGGAUGCGGAUGACUCUUCCAAAGCAGUGAAGUAAUAGGUUGCGGACCAACUUGUUACCCUGAAAAGUUUAGGGACCUGCACUGCUAUCUGCCCAAAAUGGAAAAAUAGAAAGGCUAAGUUAAUUUUUGGUAUUGAUUUAUAUGAUAUGAGAAUUCUUGAAUCUAGAAACUCAACUCGGAGGCAACUAUACAUGAAGCUACAAAUGGAUUUCCAUCUCUGAUUCUGUUAUGUAUGUAGAGUUUCUUUAACACAAAUGAAGUUACUAUUGUUAAUAUCAACAAUUUUCAGGUCCAUUGCUGUACAUACUUCAUUAGCUUAAAACAUUUCAGCAGAUUUUAUUCAAAAUGCUUUCCAGAACUGCUCAAAUCCGUCUGGUGAGUUCACAUCCUGAAGUAUAUGACCCAUGUGAUGAUUCAUUUGCAUUGGUUGAUGCACUUCUAGCGGAUAGAGCAAACUUAUUAGAGCACCGUCCUUCAAUUUGCAUGGAAGUUGGUUGCGGUAGUGGAUACGUUAUUACUUCACUAGCUCUUAUGCUUGGGAAAGACAGUUCUGGUUGCUACUUCAUUGCAACGGAUAUUAACCCUCAUGCAGUUGGAGUGACUCGUAAAACAAUGGAAGCACAUGGAUGUCAUGCGGAUUUGGUAACAACUGACAUUGCAUCAGGGUUAGAGAAGCGUCUGGCUGGAUCAGUAGAUGUGAUGGUUGUGAAUCCGCCUUAUGUGCCAACACCAGAAUACGAAGUUGGUCAGUUUGGCAUUGCAUCUGCCUGGGCUGGCGGUGAGAAUGGCCGGAGCAUUAUUGAUAAAAUAUUGCCUGUUGCUGACAACCUUUUGUCAGAUAAGGGUUGGUUGUACUUGGUUACACUAACUGCUAAUAACCCCUCUGAAAUUUGUCUUCAAAUGAUGAAGAAUGGUUAUGCUUCUCGAAUUGUUCUCCAGAGAUCAACAGAAGAGGAGAGCCUCCACAUUAUUAAGUUAUGGAGAAAUUUGGAUACUCAGUUGGAGGUCUGUUAAAUUACAGCAUUGAACAGAAUAGAUCAUGGAAUGUUAUUGAAUUCUCUACUUUCACGAGUUCCUCAGUUGCCUCUCUGGAGUCAUGACAAUUGCAGUAGUCACUAGUGUAUUCAAGAUUACCUGUGCCUUUCGAGGAAGUUGGAAGCAGAGCCAGAUUUGAGUUUGUUACAUCCAAAAAUAAAAUUUCCCCCUUCGUAUCUCUCACACACGGAGAGGAAAAAUAUUUUUUUUGUUCAAUUUGCCUUGUUUGAGCCCCAUUUUUUUCAAAAAAAAAUGUAUUUUGCAAUAGUGUUACGAUGGAAAAUUUGUGAU
Molecule: RNA transcript, 1544 nt
Organism: Olea europaea var. sylvestris
Lineage: Eukaryota; Viridiplantae; Streptophyta; Magnoliopsida; Lamiales; Oleaceae
Gene name: hemK methyltransferase family member 2-like
Exons: 3
Source: RefSeq, a predicted model, not a curated record